RNAcentral lists this long non-coding RNA (308 nucleotides) under Ganoderma lucidum. Its description in RNAcentral is "long non-coding RNA (GLUC_LNC000026)". Lineage: Eukaryota; Fungi; Basidiomycota; Agaricomycetes; Polyporales; Polyporaceae. The record is from RNAcentral.
GGCGUGGGCGUGGGCGAGGGCAGGCGAUCUCUGAACCGAUCGGCGGGGCCGCGCUGAUAGACACGGCCGUGCUCAUAACCAUCCUUCUCAUUCCCUCGGCCUCUCCGCUCUCUUUCCUGACCCGUGGCCCGUGUCCGCCACAGCGGUCGCCGCGCAAUAGCCUAUCGGGAUCUCCUUCGACUUCCAACGCGAGGCACGCGAGCUCUCACCCCCCGGCCUCGCUCGUCCCCCUUCAGGUCCCGCGGGCCCCAUACGGCGCGGCCUCUCUAGUGUGGGCACGGGGAAUGCGACGCCCGCGAUUUGCCAGC